AUUGAACGCUGGCGGCAGGCCUAACACAUGCAAGUCGAACGAGUGGCGGACGGGCGAGUAAUGCUUGGGAAUCUUGCUUAUGGAGGGGGAUAACUACGGGAAACUGUAGCCAAUACCGCGUACCAUAGGAUGAGCCCAAGUGGGAUUAGGUAGUUGGUGAGGGAAAGGCCCACAAAGCCGACGCUCUCUAGCUGGUCUGAGAGGAUGACCGGCCACACUGGGACUGAGACACGGCCCAUACGCCUACGUGAGGCAGCAGUGGGGAAUAGUGCGCAAUGGGUGAGACCUGACGGAGCCAUGCCGCGUGAGUGAAGAAGGCCUUCGGGGUGUAAAGUUCUGUCGGUAGCGAAGCGUUAACUACAGAAGAAGCACCGGCUAACUCCGUGCCAGCAGCCGCGGUAAUUC
RNAcentral lists this ribosomal RNA (405 nucleotides) under uncultured bacterium. RNAcentral's name for it is "partial 16S ribosomal RNA". It matches the Rfam family "Bacterial small subunit ribosomal RNA", at positions 30 to 526 of the family's 1533-position model. The record is from RNAcentral.